This 253-nucleotide ribosomal RNA is filed under the name uncultured bacterium. Its description in RNAcentral is "partial 16S ribosomal RNA". It matches the Rfam family "Bacterial small subunit ribosomal RNA", at positions 524 to 776 of the family's 1533-position model. The record is from RNAcentral.
AACGUAGGACGCGAGCGUUAUCCGGAGUUACUGGGCGUAAAGCGCGGGCAGGCGGUCUGACAAGUCUGAUGUGAAAUCUCCGGGCUUAACCGGGAGAGGCCAUUGGAAACUGACAGGCUGGAGGGCAGUAGAGGUAGGCGGAAUUCCGGGUGGAGUGGUGAAAUGCGUAGAGAUCCGGAGGAACACCAGAGGCGAAGGCGGCCUACUGGGCUGCACCUGACGCUGAGACGCGAAAGCCAGGGGAGCGAACGGG